Molecule: ribosomal RNA, 253 nt
Filed under: uncultured bacterium
Lineage: Bacteria
Description: partial 16S ribosomal RNA
Rfam family: Bacterial small subunit ribosomal RNA
Source: RNAcentral
UACGUAGGUGGCGAGCGUUGUCCGGAUUUACCGGGCGUAAAGAGCGCGCAGGCGGUCGUACAAGUCGCGUGUGAAAGCCCCUGGCUCAACUGGGGAGGGUCACGCGAUACUGUUCGACUCGAAGGCAGGAGAGGGAAGUGGAAUUCCCGGUGUAGUGGUGAAAUGCGUAGAUAUCGGGAGGAACACCAGUGGCGAAGGCGACUUCCUGGCCUGUUCUUGACGCUGAGGCGCGAAAGCUAGGGUAGCAAACAGG